Molecule: ribosomal RNA, 326 nt
Filed under: uncultured Acidobacteriota bacterium
Lineage: Bacteria; Pseudomonadati; Acidobacteriota
Description: bacterial SSU rRNA
Rfam family: Bacterial small subunit ribosomal RNA
Source: RNAcentral
AAUCAACGCUGGCGGCGUGCCUAACACAUGCAAGUCGAACGAGAAAGUGAGGGUAACUUCACGAGUACAGUGGCAGACGGGUGAGUAACACGUGAACAACUUCCCUUGAGUGGGGAAUAACACCGCGAAAGCGGUGCUAAUACCGCAUAACAUCUUCGGGUCGCAUGAUCUGAAGAUCAAAGGCGCAAGUUGCUUGAGGAGGGGUUCGCGGCUGAUUAGCUAGUUGGUGAGGUAACGGCCCACCAAGGCUACGAUCAGUAGCCGGCCUGAGAGGGCGAACGGCCACACUGGAACUGAGACACGGUCCAGACUCCUACGGGUGGCUG